RNAcentral lists this ribosomal RNA (446 nucleotides) under uncultured bacterium. Its description in RNAcentral is "bacterial SSU rRNA". It matches the Rfam family "Bacterial small subunit ribosomal RNA", at positions 331 to 794 of the family's 1533-position model. The record is from RNAcentral.
CCAGACUCCUACGGGAGGCAGCAGUGGGGAAUAUUGCACAAUGGGGGAAACCCUGAUGCAGCGACGCCGCGUGAGCGAUGAAGUAUUUCGGUAUGUAAAGCUCUAUCAGCAGGGAAGAAAAUGACGGUACCUGACUAAGAAGCCCCGGCUAACUACGUGCCAGCAGCCGCGGUAAUACGUAGGGGGCAAGCGUUAUCCGGAUUUACUGGGUGUAAAGGGAGCGUAGACGGUCCUGCAAGCCAGAUGUGAAAGCCCGGGGCUCAACCCCGGGACUGCAUUUGGAACUGUAAGGCUAGAGUGUCGGAGGGGCAGGCGGAAUUCCUAGUGUAGCGGUGAAAUGCGUAGAUAUUAGGAGGAACACCGGCGGCGAAGGCGGCCUGCUGGACCGAAACUGACGUUGAGGCUCGAAAACGUGGGGAGCAAGCAGGAUUAGAUACCCCCGUAUC